This 425-nucleotide ribosomal RNA is filed under the name uncultured bacterium. RNAcentral describes it as "partial 16S ribosomal RNA". It matches the Rfam family "Bacterial small subunit ribosomal RNA", at positions 354 to 796 of the family's 1533-position model. The record is from RNAcentral.
GUGGGGAAUAUUGGACAAUGGGCGCAAGCCUGAUCCAGCCAUGCCGCGUGAGUGAUGAAGGCCCUAGGGUUGUAAAGCUCUUUCACCGAUGAAGAUAAUGACGGUAGUUGGAGAAGAAGCCCCGGCUAACUUCGUGCCAGCAGCCGCGGUAAUACGAAGGGGGCUAGCGUUGUGCGGAAUUACUGGGCGUAAAGCGCACGUAGGCGGAUAUUUAAGUCAGGGGUGAAAUCCCAGAGCUCAACUCUGGAACUGCCUUUGAUACUGGGUAACUCGAGUAUGGAAGUGGUGGGUGGAAUUCCGAGUGUAGAGGUGAAAUUCGUAGAUAUUCGGAGGAACACCAGUGGCGAAGGCGGCUCACUGGAUCGAUACUGACGCUGAGGUGCGAAAGCGUGGGGAGCAAACAGGAUUAGAUACCCGGGUAGUCC